RNAcentral lists this microRNA precursor (77 nucleotides) under Human alphaherpesvirus 2. Its description in RNAcentral is "microRNA hsv2-mir-H22 precursor". Its record names the gene hsv2-mir-H22. Lineage: Duplodnaviria; Heunggongvirae; Peploviricota; Herviviricetes; Herpesvirales; Orthoherpesviridae. The record is from miRBase by way of RNAcentral.
CCCCAGGGGUCUGGACGUGGGUGGGCGCGGGGAGCGCGGGGACGACCGGGCCCGAGCCUUCUCCGUCCCCCCUGGGG